This is a long non-coding RNA of Asparagus officinalis (garden asparagus), 4314 nucleotides long. RefSeq lists it as uncharacterized. NCBI's taxonomy places the organism in Eukaryota, Viridiplantae, Streptophyta, Magnoliopsida, Asparagales, Asparagaceae. The transcript has 2 exons. The record is from RefSeq and is a predicted model, not a curated record.
UAUAUAUAUAUAUAUAUAUAUAUAUUAUUACUACUCCAGUUCAUCACCAAGCUUCCGGUUUGUAAAUUUUUAAGUUUAUUUAUAUAUAUUACUACUACUCCAGUUCAUCACCAAGCUUCUGGUUUGUAAAUUUUUAAGUUUAUUUUCCGUCAAGUAUGUAAGUGUCUUUUGUAAAUACUACUACUUAGUUUGCUUCCGUUGUUACUGUUCAUUACUAUUCACAUUGUUACUAUUCAUUACUGUUUUUUAUUUUCUUUUUGAUAUACAUGUGAACGAAGAAGAAGAUAUAGCUAUAAACAAUAUCUAUAUCCUUUCCUCCGUCUACACAAUAUUCUCUUACUAGAAAAGGCAUUAACACCUCUGUUCUUGUUUGCUUACGAGAUGGAAGAUUUUCUGUUUUUACAGACUCUUUAAUUGGUCUAAUUGAGUCAAGUCUAAGCAAUGGUCCUAUAUUCUUUAAUGCUUUUCCAAACUUCUCAGUUUCUUUAUCAGACCCUGGCAUUCUCAAAAUAUUAAUUUUAAAUCUUCAAACCUCUGGAUUUAAUAUGGAUAUUAAUUCUGAGAAUAUAGCUUUAACUUAUAGAAUCUGCUAUAAAGCCAUGAAUACGCUCACACCUUUAGUUAAGAUUAACCCUGAGAAAAGAGCAACUACUUUAUUUCUUACCAAUGCAAAAAAUAAUCUGGUAGUACCACGGACUUUAAAAUGACAUGAAAUUCAACUUCCUUCAGUUUGAAAAUUAAGUCAAGUCAUUGAAGCUUUACCCCCUGAAAAUUCUAAUCUUCAAAAAAUUAUUGAACAUCCUAAUGGUGAUGUCGAUGUUAACUUUUCUUCGUUUAGAAAAAUCACUCUUGAAACUAAUGACGAACGACAUGCCUCAAUUUCUUCAAUUCCAACUCGGGAAAAAGAUUUCUUUAAACACAACAAACCAAUAGGAAUUAAAUAUAACAUUGAGCCAACUGCCAUUUAUGAUGAUUCUGAUUCAUCAAGACUAGGUAUUAAUGUUAUUGAGAACUUUGAUAAUACACCUCCUUUUGACUUUGAUAAAGAAGCUCUAAGAAAAGAUUUUAAUUCUCCAAAAAAUCAUCACAAAAAAGAAUGGUUUUUUAAAACUUAUGAAAAAGACUUUAGGUCAUCAAUUCGAGCCGUAUAUUAUGAUUGUAUGCGAACCAUUAGAAAAAAAAUAUAUCAUUUUUCUUAUGGUAUGAGUUUAUUUACGUUGAAGAUUAAAAGAAUUCUCUUAAACAUUUACCUAUUGAAAAUCAGGUCCAUAUGCUAAAAAGGAUUACAAACACAUGGUUAUUGAGCAAAAUAAUUUGAGCAAAAUAAUUUGAAAAUCAGGUCCAUAUGCUACUCUUAUAAAAACUCUUGAGUCAAAUUCCAACACAGCCAGACAAGAACAUCUCUCUGGUUAUUGAGCAAAAUAAUUUUACUAACAUUCAUCUUCAAGCAAUAGGUAAACAAACAGAUAGGAUUGAAAACAUGCUUCUCAACAUGAAAAAACCUAUUAUCAAUCAGAUAUCUAUGCCUCCGUUUGCUCCUCAGACUUUCACUGAGAAUAUCAAAUUAGGAAAUAAUAAACCUUUUAAACUAAGUGAAAAAAUGAGUAAUCUUACUGAAGAAUUAACUAAGAGAUUAAAAGACUUAUCUUUAAACAAAUCUCCCGCUAUUAAUGUCUUGUUAGAAUAUGAAACUCGGUUAGAUAAUACAGUUGACUAUUCAUCUGAUUAUAAUGAAACCAUCCAAAACAUUAGAAAGCAACCUUCUAGCUCAAAAAAUUACUAUUGAAGACCCACUCCAGCUGAUAUGUAAUUUGAAGAAAUAACUGAUAAUCAUAAGACAAAUUUUGAUGGAAAUUCUCUUGUUGAGUGGAAUCUUGAUGGAUAUACUGAAUACCAAAUUAUACAUCUAUUACAAGAAAUGCUUAUUUACGCUAAUGCCUGUAGACAACACGACAAUACUGAAAAAGACAUUGCAAGUGGAAUAUGUUCUUCCUUUUCUUAUCAGUUACAAGGUUGGUGGGAUCAUUAUCUUACUCCAACAUAUAAAAAUAACAUUCUAAAUAAUUAUAAACAAAACCAACUAGGAGAGCCAAUUCGCGAUGCAAACGGACAUUAUAUUAGUGAUGCUGUUUAUACCUUACUCCUUUUCAUUUACCAUCACUUCAUUGGCUUAGCUAAUAGCCUUCAAGAUAAAGUUAGAGAACAAUUCAUGAAUUUUAGGUGUAAAACCCUUACCGACUUUAGAUGGUACAAAGAUGUCUUCCUUUCCAAGGUCUACCAAUUACAUGACUAUAAUAAUCCUAUUUGGAAAGAAAAAUUCAUUUUAGGUCUUUCACCCUCAUUUGCUGAAAGAAUAAGAGAAUCCAUUAAAGAACAAAGUAAUGGACGUAUACCUUAUGAUCAAAUUCCUUUUGGAGAAUUAAUUCAGAGAGUAAAUACUAUUGGCCUAAAACUUUGUAAUGAUGUUAAAAUUAACAAUCAAUUAAGAAACCAAAACCUUUUACGAAAAAGGGAAUUAGGAGAUUUUUGCUAUCAAUUUGGCUUUCAAAUGGAAAACCCAAAAAUUAGAAAUUAUAAAAAACGACAGAAACCAAGAAAUACAAAGAAAGAAGAAAAUGAAUCUCCUAAAAGGACUAAGUUGUAUAUAUAUAUACUUAUACUUAUACUUAUACUUAUACUUAUACUUAAGUGGAUAGCAAGCCUUUGUCCACCAAAAUUUUUAUCCACUCAUAUAUAUAUAAAAAGUCUUUUCAUAUCUUUCAUGGAUCCCUAGGCAACAUCAAUGAGUAAGAAAGUAGGUGGAUGGUCCACCUAAGUUAACGUCAAUGACUGUAAUAAUCCUAUUUGUGUUUGCAUUUUGGUCAAGAGUGUUGGAAUUCUCAAUUUCUCAUGAUUAUCAUUUGAAAGGUAUUUUCAUUCCAUGUUUCUUUUUUAUUCGAAGUUGUUGCAAUCUGUAGUGAGUUUCUAUUUACUAUUUUCAUGAAAAUUGUUUUAUACUUAGUAAAAGGACUAUGAGAUGAGAUUAUAUUUUCAUGUGGUUUUUACAUUUUAUAUUGGCAAUGUGAAUAUGGUUCUUCCAAUUUCAUUUAGUUUUAAAUGAAGAAAUAAUUUGUGAACUUGUAUAAUUUGCAAAAUAUUGUUGACCUAUCAGGUGUUUAAAAGCAUUAGAAUUUGAAGUUUAUGAUUAAGGAAAACCAACUACAAUUAUUACAUCAAGAAAAAAAAGACUUCAGAAAAUCGGAGUGUGUUAGAUUCAUGAUGGCUAAAUAUGUUAAAAUGAUUCGAGAAUUCAUGAAUUUUUUUUAAACUACUAACCCAGAUUAUUUUUGCACCUGCUUACAUAUGUAUGAAAAUUUAUUAUGUACUCAUAUUUUAUCGCUUUUUGAGUAAUGUGGUAUCAUAGUUCUACUUUGGUCCCAUUUAAAAAAAAUCCUGGCUCCACCACUGUCUAUAAGCUCUUGUCCUCUUCCACAUGGUGGCCGGAGGCACCGUGGACGUACUGUCAUUGUACCAUGAUUAUGAUCAACACCACAUCAUCUCUGCCACUGCCAUCAUCAUCAUGCAACGCCUGCGGAGGCUCAGGCAUCGCUUGGUCUUCCUCCCAUGCCGCCACCUUCGAAGGCUUAAUUUGUCCAGGGCCCCCGGUCUCCAUCACCAUCGUAGCAGGCUCCAAAGUCACCAAGCCUUCCUCCUUUGCUGUCACCAUCCAAGGCUCCUUCAAUGCUACCAUCUCCGGCUCCAAAGUCACAAAGUCUUCCACCUUAAUUUGCAGUUGCCGUCCAUUUCUCCUUCAAUGCCGGCGCUGUCUCGGACUCCAUCUACGCCAUCUUCAGCGCCGUCGGAAUCUCCCAAGUCAUCUAGUCUUGCUCCUUCUCCGUCACCAUCUCCCUCGAUAGUGCAGCCCCCGUCCCCUUCACCCAAGACUCAAAUAUUGGAGCCCCCACAUCCUCCUCCAGCACCCACCCCAUCUCCAUCUCUGUCCAGGUGCAUAUGGAAUAUCAGUACUGUGCCGUCGAAAUGUACUCCAUCUCCCACUACACCAGCUUCUUCGCCUACUUCUCUUCCUCCUCCGCAUGAAGAGUCUGAAGAAGCAGCAACUUCACUGCCGCCACCACUUGGCCCUAUUCGAAGCAACACUGCUUGCUACCUUCCUUCUUUUUGUUCUCGCACUGUUAUUUGAUGCGAUAGCUAGCGUUGUAUCUUCUCUUCCUUCAAUUGUGCCUUUGCUUUUUUAUUCAAUCCCUUUUUCCUCCUUUUUCUACAUUCUGACACUCUAUUUAUUUGUGCAAUAGAAAGAGAUUGUAUUUUGGUUCA